This is a long non-coding RNA of Octodon degus (degu), 310 nucleotides long. RefSeq lists it as uncharacterized. The record is from RefSeq and is a predicted model, not a curated record. The transcript is spliced from 2 exons. NCBI's taxonomy places the organism in Eukaryota, Metazoa, Chordata, Mammalia, Rodentia, Octodontidae.
AAUAGAACAUGUUUAAUACCAUAGAACAUCUACAUAGGCUGUAAAUUUCGUUAAAUGAUAGAUGCAAAGAUGGAAGACAGAUGGGUAGAGGAAAAGACAGAAUCAGAUACUAGAUGAGUUAGUGCUGCAGGCCUGUGCUUCAGGGCUGUCUCAUUACCACCAGACAAGCAAGCAUCAAUGUCCCCACAUCCCCCAUUCCCUCCCCCUGGAACACACCGAUUUAUAUGAAAAUUAAGAUUACAAAUUAAAGCCUGGCUAUCCUGGAGUUUUCCAGUUCAUCAGCCAUCCAAUAAAAAUGAUGUCAAGCCUG